ACAGACAGUGUUAGGUACACCACCUCGUACAACGACAUGGUCAGCUCCUACAGACAGUGUUGGGUACACCACCUCGUACACCGACAUGGUCAGCUCCUACAGACAGUGUUGGGUACACCACCUCGUACACCGACAUGGUCAGCUCCUACAGACAGUGUUAGGCACAACGACAUGGUCAGCUCCUACAGACAGUGUUAGGUACACCACCUCGUACACCGACAUGGUCAGCUCCUACAGACAGUGUUAGGUACACCACCUCGUACAACGACAUGGUCAGCUCCUACAGACAGUGUUGGGUACACCACCUCGUACACCGACAUGGUCAGCUCCUACAGACAGUGUUAGGUACAACGACAUGGUCAGCUCCUACAGACAGUGUUAGGUACACCACCUCGUACACCGACAUGGUCAGCUCCUACAGACAGUGUUAGGUACACCGACAUGGUCAGCUCCUACAGACAGUGUUAGGUACACCGACAUGGUCAGCUCCUACAGACAGUGUUAGGUACACCACCUCGUACACCAACAUGGUCAGCUCCUACAGACAGUGUUGGGUACAAUGACAUGGUCAGCUCCUACAGACAGUGUUAGGUACAACGACAUGGUCAGCUCCUACAGACAGUGUUAGGUACAACGACAUGGUCAGCUCCUACAGACAGUGAGCCACCUGUCCAGGGCUUGCUAUAUAAAACAGGCAGACAGGCAUCGAGGCA
Oncorhynchus tshawytscha (Chinook salmon) is the source of this 713-nucleotide long non-coding RNA. NCBI's taxonomy places the organism in Eukaryota, Metazoa, Chordata, Actinopteri, Salmoniformes, Salmonidae. The record is from Ensembl.